UGAGUAACCUGCCCUUAACUCCGGGAUAAGCCUGGGAAACUGGGUCUAAUACCGGAUAUGACUCCUCAUCGCAUGGUGGGGGGUGGAAAGCUUUUUGUGGUUUUGGAUGGACUCGCGGCCUAUCAGCUUGUUGGUGAGGUAAUAGCUCACCAAGGCGACGACGGGUAGCCGGCCUGAGAGGGUGACCGGCCACACUGGGACUGAGACACGGCCCAGACUCCUACGGGAGGCAG
This 233-nucleotide ribosomal RNA is filed under the name uncultured bacterium. RNAcentral's name for it is "partial 16S ribosomal RNA". It matches the Rfam family "Bacterial small subunit ribosomal RNA", at positions 118 to 351 of the family's 1533-position model. The record is from RNAcentral.